AUUAAGGCUAUUGUAAAGGCUUCUUAAAAAUGCUGUCGCUGAUGAGCCUCUGAUCGCUGUCAGAUUCUGUGAUAUGAAUGUCCGCUAAUGGGUUUAGAAUGAGCCCCGCUCGGCCCGUGUUCUGGCUUACUGUAAUAUUUCACCUGUAAUAAGACCAAAAUAAUAUAAUUAAAAUAAAGAAAUGAAUGAAUACAUGAUAACAUCUAAAUAAAUGUUGAUAGAUUUAGUAAAUAAUAACCGAGAUAACCGAUUAAAUAAUAACCGAGAAAGACCUAAAUAAUAAUAAUACAUAAUUAAUAAACAGCGCCGCCCCUCCCACCACGCGCAUCACGCGCUGUGCGUCAACCCCAAAGCGUCAAAAACUGAACCGUGGUCAAGCGCCUCUAGCGUCACUGACAUGAGAUGUUUAUCGCUUUGAAAUCACGUUCAAGAAGUCUCAUUCAGCACACAUCGCGAUACUUUCCAUCAGUUUGCAAGAGCCGCAGGUUGGGUGAGUUAUACAGUCUAUGGUGAGUAGUAGUAAAUAUGCUCUUUUAAUGCCUGUCAUAAAACGUAUUCUGUCUUCUUUAUUAAUCAGAUGAGCGCCUUAUGUUUACUCUCUGUAUUACAUCGGUCAUCCGAGGCUGUCUUUGAGUUUCAUUGUGUUUGACUAAAUGAGCACAGCUGCUAACUGGUUAAACUCCAUAGGUCACGUGACGUGCCACAUACCUGGGAUCCGUUUUAUAUUCAUUUCAGGUUCAAAGAUCUGAAAAGACGUAAAGUAAGCAGUCACCCCAGUGGUGUUUGUGGAGAGGUAUUCCUUCAGAAAUGGAGAAGACAGAAAGCUGCAGAGGCAGGAUUGUUUCCAGAUAACACUGUAGUUCUCCGUCAUGCACAAGGAUUCACCUCUUUAACUCCCCCCCCCCCCCCCCCCCCCACACACUCACA
Molecule: long non-coding RNA, 927 nt
Organism: Carassius gibelio (silver crucian carp)
Lineage: Eukaryota; Metazoa; Chordata; Actinopteri; Cypriniformes; Cyprinidae
Exons: 3
Source: RefSeq, a predicted model, not a curated record